UGGGGAAUAUUGCACAAUGGGCGCAAGCCUGAUGCAGCCAUGCCGCGUGUAUGAAGAAGGCCUUCGGGUUGUAAAGUACUUUCAGCGGGGAGGAAGGCGAUAAGGUUAAUAACCUUGUCGAUUGACGUUACCCGCAGAAGAAGCACCGGCUAACUCCGUGCCAACAGCCGCGGUAAUACGGAGGGUGCAAGCGUUAAUCGGAAUUACUGGGCGUAAAGCGCACGCAGGCGGUCUGUCAAGUCGGAUGUGAAAUCCCCGGGCUCAACCUGGGAACUGCAUUCGAAACUGGCAGGCUAGAGUCUUGUAGAGGGGGGUAGAAUUCCAGGUGUAGCGGUGAAAUGCGUAGAGAUCUGGAGGAAUACCGGUGGCGAAGGCGGCCCCCUGGACAAAGACUGACGCUCAGGUGCGAAAGCGUGGGGAGCAAACA
Molecule: ribosomal RNA, 427 nt
Filed under: uncultured bacterium
Lineage: Bacteria
Description: partial 16S ribosomal RNA
Rfam family: Bacterial small subunit ribosomal RNA
Source: RNAcentral